GUGACUGCGUACCUUUUGUAUAAUGGGUCAGCGACUUAUAUUCUGUAGCAAGGUUAACCGCAUAGGGGAGCCGGAGGGAAACCGAGUCUUAAUUGGGCGUUAAGUUGCAGGGUAUAGACCCGAAACCCGGUGAUCUAGCCAUGGGCAGGUUGAAGGUUGGGUAACACUAACUGGAGGACCGAACCGACUAAUGUUGAAAAAUUAGCGGAUGACCUGUGGCU
RNAcentral lists this ribosomal RNA (221 nucleotides) under Salmonella enterica. Its description in RNAcentral is "partial 23S ribosomal RNA". It matches the Rfam family "Bacterial large subunit ribosomal RNA", at positions 593 to 816 of the family's 2925-position model. RNAcentral also lists the same sequence under 2 other names. The record is from RNAcentral. Lineage: Bacteria; Pseudomonadati; Pseudomonadota; Gammaproteobacteria; Enterobacterales; Enterobacteriaceae.